This is a small nuclear RNA of Arvicola amphibius (Eurasian water vole), 104 nucleotides long. The record is from RefSeq and is a predicted model, not a curated record. Lineage: Eukaryota; Metazoa; Chordata; Mammalia; Rodentia; Cricetidae.
AUGCUCGCUUCGGCAGCACAUAUGCUAAAAUUGGAACGAAACAGAGAUUAGCGUGGCCCCUGCGCAAGGAUGACACACAAAUCCGUGAAGCCUUAACUUAAAAA